ACCCUUCUUCUUACCAGAAAGAUGCUUGUUUCUGUCGGCGCAAUGUUUGAAGAAACCAGCUGGCUGUACCCGACUCCGAUAGCGUGUCUCGAGUGAGCCAUGUUUCCGUGAAGCAAAGAACGUUAUAGUCUCUUAUGUCUCUCUGGAAUGCUACCCUUGAUCGGAUUUCAUCUACCUUGUUGUCAAGAGACUGGACAUUGGCGAGUAGUAUGCUAGGGAGUGGUGCACGAUGUGCCCGUCUCCGGAGCCUGACCAGAAGACCACUUCGUCUGCCCCUUUGUCACACCUCCGUUGUUGCCAGUCUCCCUCGACUCCUUUGAAAAGGACACACCAUCAUGGAGGCCUCUGUUAGUGUCAUCAAGACAGUAAUUAGGGUCACUAACAGCUUCAUCAACAAUGCCAAGUAAUGUGUGUCGUGAAAAAUUGUAUAAAAAAAUACCUGGCUUGAUAAACUAGUAGGCUAGUUAGAACUAGUAGAUAGAACUAGUAGACUAAUUUUGGUUGUGAAGUGCAUUAGCAAAAAGUUUUUUCCUUUCUUUCGAACAAAAUGCAAUUUACCACUUGAAUGUCGAUCAUAUCACCCUGUCACAGGUCAUCCCAGUUAACACCACCUCGAAAGAUUGCCUGCUGGGGUUGUUCAAGAGAUGGGUGGGAGGGGCCCUCAUCAGUAUCAUGCAGACCAGCCCUCGCUGUGAGCAUUCCUAUGAAUUUGAUCAGUCAGCCACAUAUUGGCAAGUAUCCGUCCAGAAACAUUCACUUGUCAGUAUCAACAACUUUCACAGGCUCAUCAUUUGUACAAAUACAGAAGGUAAACCACUUCAUUCCUUUGAUACAUUUGAUACCCCAAUUGUGAAACAUAAUUUAUGUAUACUGACAUUAUUUGUUUCUUAUUUUCGACUUCUUAGAUGCAUAUAAUGCCCAUGGGCAUAAUGUAGCCUGGUGGAACCAGUCUGAUCGCUGUGUUCAGCAUUCUAUUUCACUUGACAUUUGAUGAUAUCUGAAGUGAAAUAGAAAGGUGAACGCAGCGAUCAGGUUGGUUCCACCAGGUUAAUCAUAACCAUUAUUGAUAAUGCAAUCAGUGCUCUGUGUGUGCGCAUGCGACCAACCGACAGGACAGACGACCGACCGAGUAGCUGAUCUACGCUGCUAUGCCCAUCAAUGGGGCUCUGGCAAAGACCUCACCUCCAGCCUCACCAACAGUUGUCGAUGGGGAGAACAGAAUUAGAUACCUGUAUGGAGGCAGCACUUUGGAGACUUGCUAUGGUGGUACUACUGAUUUCUGACUAUAAUCGGUUACAACAAACCCAAACCAACCCAGGGCGAUAGAACAGCAUGUCACAGUUGGUUACAUAGUGUAAUGGCAUCACCGGCCUGAAACUAAUCCUACACCUGUAGGGAUAUUAGUUCUGGGAUUUGUCUCCCGGGAAAGAUCUAAUGAGGAGAGAUGAGACAAAACCAUCCAGUUAUCCAAUUUGUAAGUCGCUCUGGAUAAGAGCGUCUGCUAAAUGACUUAAAUGUAAAUGUAAAUGUUAUAGAAUAUUGUGUUGUAGGACAGCUGAGCUGACUGAAGACCUCGGGCAUUCAACUCGCAGUAGUCGAUAUCAUUUCCACGGUAACAUGUAUUUACAUGACAUGAUGAAACGUUGAAACUAAUUUGCAAGCUACUUUGGUAGCAAGGCGUUGUAGAACGAGUGUCUUAUGAAACACAUUCCAGACACUGGCUCUUGCCAUGUUGCAAUAACUGAUUUUGACAGAGACAUAUCAGCUAGGAGGAUAACCAGCUGCAGCUACUAAAAAGCUAUGCUAGCUAGCUGCUGUCAGCUUGGCUAAACACAAGCAAAAGUGUAAAGUACUUAAGUAAAAAUACUUUGAUGUACUACUUAAGUCGUUUUGGGGGGGUAUCUGUAGUUUACUACUAUUUUUGAGAACUUUUCUUUUAUUCCACUACAUUUCUAUAGAAAAUAUACUUUUUACUCCCAUACAUUUUCCCUGACACCCAAAAGUACUUGUUACAUUUCGAAUGCUCAGGCAGGACGAUAUGGUCCAAUUCACACACCUAUCAAUAUAACGCGUUGUCAUCCCUUCUUCCUCUGAUCUGGUGGUCUCACUAAACACAAAUACUGCAUUUGUAAAUUAUGUCUGAGUGUUGGAGUGUACCCCUGGCUGUCCGUAAAUAAAAAAUGUAAUAAACAA
This is a long non-coding RNA of Oncorhynchus keta (chum salmon), 2193 nucleotides long. RefSeq lists it as uncharacterized. Lineage: Eukaryota; Metazoa; Chordata; Actinopteri; Salmoniformes; Salmonidae. The transcript is spliced from 2 exons. The record is from RefSeq and is a predicted model, not a curated record.